RNAcentral lists this ribosomal RNA (254 nucleotides) under uncultured bacterium. Its description in RNAcentral is "partial 16S ribosomal RNA". It matches the Rfam family "Bacterial small subunit ribosomal RNA", at positions 524 to 776 of the family's 1533-position model. The record is from RNAcentral.
UACAGAGGGUGCAAGUGUUGUUCGGAAUCAUUGGGCGUAAAGGGCGCGUAGGCGGUUUGGUAAGUCAGGUGUGAAAUCCCUGGGCUUAACUCAGGAACUGCAUUUGAAACUACCAAGCUAGAGUGCGAUAGAGGAGAGCGGAAUUCCCGGUGUAGAGGUGAAAUUCGUAGAUAUCGGGAGGAACACCAGUGGCGAAAGCGGCUCUCUGGGUCGACACUGACGCUCAGUGCGCGAAAGCGUGGGGAGCAAACAGG